Molecule: ribosomal RNA, 460 nt
Filed under: uncultured bacterium
Lineage: Bacteria
Description: partial 16S ribosomal RNA
Rfam family: Bacterial small subunit ribosomal RNA
Source: RNAcentral
CCUACGGGGGGCAGCAGUGAGGAAUAUUGGUCAAUGGGCGCGAGUCUGAACCAGCCAAGUAGCGUGAAGGAUGACUGCCCUACGGGUUGUAAACUUCUUUUAUAAAGGAAUAAAGUGAGGCACGUGUGCCUUUUUGUAUGUACUUUAUGAAUAAGGAUCGGCUAACCCCGCGCCAGCAGCCGCGGUAAUAUGGAGGAUCCGAGCGUUAUCCGGAUUUAUUGGGUUUAAAGGGAGCGUAGAUGGGUUUUUAAGUCAGUUGUGAAAGUUUGCGGCUUAACCGUAAAAAUGCAAUUGAUACUGGAAGCCUUGAGUACAGUUGAGGUAGGCGGAAUUCGUGGUGUAGCGGUGAAAUGCUUAGAUAUCUCGAAGAACUCCGAUUGCGAAGGCAGCCUACUAAACUGCCACUGACAUUGAUGCUCGAAAGUGUGGGUAUCAAACAGGAUUAGAUACCCCUGUAGUC